CUUACUGAGUGUGUCCACGCCACGCCAGACACUGCUCGAAGCCGUGAAGACAGCAGUGAACAGGGACGUAGCCACGCCGCCAGGUGCACGUGAGCCAGAUGCCGCGGCGACUGUUAACACCCACAACUUUAACAGGAGAGAUGCCAGGGGCUGCGGAAGUAUGUAAAUUGUCCAGCAGAGGCUCUAGCACCCAGUGGUCAUUCAGUAAAUAUUCUCCAUCAUUCCUCCUGCUGCCCUCAUUGUGACGAUCUGAGUCGAGGACAAGCCUGACUCCUCCGAGCUGCAUGACCACUGCUGCAUUUCUGAAGGACACAUCUUCACCUGCUGUCACGCUACAACAGAGCCCCCGCCUUCACUUCUCCACAACAUCGCCUCCUGACGCAGCCUGGAGAUGCUCCCACCUCAUUCACAGCGAGAUCCAUCAUCCCUAGGCUGGGGAUGCCAUGACCAAGCCUCCAUGAGAACAGACACACCCACCAUCUUGCCAGCAAACCCAGCACUGCCUCCCAUCAAGCACGUAAAACACACCAUUGGGAUUUACUCUGUCACUCCUCCUUCCUCGCAUCUGACAUCACCUCUCUAUGCACACUUCAUUGGGGCACGAUCAGUCACAGGAGCUCUGUGUGCCGUGGAGCCGGCUCCGGCUUUGGAACCACAUGGUGGUAAUCUAUCUGCCCCUUCUCCAUGGCUCUGGCUGCACUGGCCCAUUAUCAGCCGGAGGCAGGACUUCUAGGCCAGUGUUUGUUUGACUCACCACUCUCUCCCCUUCUGAGCUGCAUCAGAACAAAAUAUCCUAGACAGAGCCCGGCCGCCUCCCCGUGGCGUGCUGCCAGUCAUGAAGACGUCAUUGGAAAGUCUCGUCUUUUUUUUUUUUUUUUUUAAAUGCCGCUCCUUGUCGCCACAGAUUGAUCUGCCAGUUAAAUAUUUAGACAUGCUCAUAUGCCUUUGUCAUAAAACACCACUUGACUUUGAGCGAUGAGCAAGGAGGUACUGAGGCUGUAGCUAUUCCCUCCCUGGGACACGGGGAGAGAGGGAAGCAGCAACAAGACAACGCCCCACCGCAGGGGUCUGCGUACCUCCAUCAAAACCCACCCACCCCACCGCCAGCAAGUCCAGCACACCCAGCCUCCGGAGCAUGAGAAGGGUCAAGACAGGGGAGCCGGGUCUUCUCUUUGGAUCGCCAAGUGCACGAGUUGGCUCAGUCAGCCCCAGGCCUCUCAGCCCAGUCCUGCCCUAACCUUCCCAACCACCGAAUGGGCUACAGGUCAGCCUUCACAGUAUCCCUAUGACAGUGAAAAGUACCAGCCACAUGGCACAACACACAUGUUCUCAUUUAAUCAUCACAACAACCCCCUCGGGAGAUAGGAACAAUUGUCCCGAUUUACAAACACGGAAGCAGAGACGCACAGAGUUUAAGUGAACGGUAAACCCAAUGACACUCGAGAAGGCAAAAGGGAUCUGGGACUACAGCCCAACUCCCAAGGACGUGUUCCCUUCACCAGAUGUCCACAGAAGGUCACCACCAACAUGGACCCUCUAAACUCAUGUUUGAUCACCUCCGCCAAAAAGCCCCUUUAUUCCCCUGCAACUUCUCAGAGGCUCCAGAUCUUUCCUGGGAAAUCUGGCUUGUUUCCUGAUCACAGGGAGAGGUCAAAGGCCAGAGACUGAACCACUCAGCUCCCGGCGUGAACAUUUCAACUAUAAGGUACUUUCCAGAGCAGUGGCCAUCAAAGUCCAGGACCCUCCUCCACGUGGACUAUAAUAAAGUGAAUUUCAGUAGAUGGCGGGUCAUUAUAACUCUUCAAGGGCAGCGUGGAAGGGCCCUGGGCAAACUGAAGGCAAGGCUGUCCCACAGCGGGCAGAGAGCACAGCGUGGUAUGGAAGCUAUUGAACGCGCCCCAGCCCACGGCACCUCAAGCCCAGUGUUUGCUCUACUAGCAAAAACUAGUUUGCAGAGAAACCCUUCCUUUCACUUCCUUGUUUCAGAAACAAGCAGGUGUUCUUUCAUCUAAGCAGUUGGCAGAGGAGGGGAGGGAAGAGGAAACAAGCCUGGAAGCAUCUGAGAAGAAGGCUAAGGCCAUAUCACCUGGGACCAAAGACUCCAAGAAGAAAAGCAACCCCUGCUGAGUCUCUGCGGUGAAAGGCCAGCGGGGAGCGACUGGCUACUGAAGCCCACUGUUACACUCCCCGGAUGGGAACAUUGAGGCUUCGAGAACAUUCUUAGUGCCUUACAGAGAGUCACACCCUGGUCAGUAGCAAGAACUCAGGUUUUUUAACUCCCACUCCGGCUUUCUGUCUCUCCUCUCCCCCGCAACCAAACCAUGCAUCUGUGAACUCUGUUUCUUUCUAUGUGUUGUCUUCAACUUCCUUCCUACUGUAUAUGGUCGUCUCCCACAAAGUGGUUAGGGGAUCCAACUUACACAACUGCCAUUAUGACAUGCAAGAAGGAGGAAGGAACCCCCCCGACCCCCCGCAAAGUCCGUAGAUUGGCCUUGCUUAAGCCACAUCCAUACUCCUUGCCCUGUCAAUGCAUCUACGGUGGGAGAGGGAUACAGCCUCCACCAGAAUGACAAGAAAUGGAAGAGAUGCAGUUUCCCCAAAGAAACGGCAGCACCACUACCAGAAAAAAAUAGAGACAACUACGAUAGAUGUCCACAUACAAAGACAACCUAGCCAUUCUUGCUUCCUGAGUUGGGGGGAAAAAAAACCCACAUUCAGAAAAUUCUACACAAUGUUUUAUACUAUAGUUUCAAGGAACAGGGAGUAGAAAGCCAAACUUGGGCCUCCUCUCCUAAUUCAAAUUUUCAAAACCAGAUUUUCCCAAAGAAGGGCUGCCUGCCUUUGGGGCAAUCAGUAGCUUGCCAAACCUCUAAUAAGGUGAUAUGCUUUCCCAUUUGACUACUGUUCCCUGCAAAUACCCUUCCUCCAUCAAGAACCUUGAAGGAGAGGCAUGGUGAAGAAUAAGACUCCAUCCAAAUAGCCCAUUCCAAUCCUUCUACUCUCCAUGCCUCACCACCUACGACCAGUCAGCUCACUCUCUCCCAAACCUGAACUUGUAAAAGGCAAACGGAAGACACAAACGAAGGUGGCAGGGGAGAAGAGAAUCAAGUGUUAUGUGCAGUCAACAGAGGUUGGCACCUGCUCUCAUUCAAAAACAGCUCACCAGAGCAUUUGAGCUCUUCCCUGCUCUGGGCUGGGAGAGUCUCACAGACCAUGGCUGCUCAUGAGACAAGAAGGGACAACAGUGUUAGGCAACUCAGGAAUGCGUGUUCAUUCCAUCACUUACCAGCUGAAGGACACUGAGCAGUCAGUGACAUCUGUGAUCCUCGGUUCCCUCACCUGUAAAAUGGAAAUAGUGAUUAUUAUCCAUUUCACAGAUGGGUAAUAGAGUUGUUAUGGGGAGUAAGCAAGAUAAUAUCCUCGAAUGGCGCCUGGGACAUAGUAAUGCCCCAAAAUAAUUAGAUGUGUUAUUGUCAUCAGUGGCCACGUAGGUGUUGUGUCCAUAAACUGUAGAAAAAGUGUAUCUUAAUCAUCUAUGCACCAUUUUUCAAGAGUGCUGUUUUAAUGAAUUAACUUCAAAUUCAUUGAAAAUUAUUUCUGAACACAGUAUACUUUAUAUCAUUUAUGUAUCUUCUCAGUGGUCAUUCAAAAUACAGCUAUUCCCAUGUUG
Mustela lutreola (European mink) is the source of this 3670-nucleotide long non-coding RNA. RefSeq lists it as uncharacterized. Lineage: Eukaryota; Metazoa; Chordata; Mammalia; Carnivora; Mustelidae. The record is from RefSeq and is a predicted model, not a curated record. The transcript is spliced from 2 exons.